AGCCCAGCGUGGAGCGGCGAGAAGCGCCCAGGUCGGCAAUUCUCCCUCGGGGUCUCUGACGCUGAGCGUUCCUGAAUGACUGGCAGAAACUGGGACUGGAGUGUGAGCACCUGAGGGGCUCUCCAGUGGGGCUUGGAAGCGAGUGCCCCAGUGACUUUUCUUACAAGCUUGAGUGUGACUACAUACCACUCUGAGGCUCCAAGUGAGAUACUGGAAAGACCGUGGAUUUGCAAGCUGACAAUUGAAUGCUGGCUCUAUUGGGGUGGCAUCUUCUGAUCACUCAUGUCAUCAAUUGCUAGAAAAAUGAGAACUCUCCAGAAGAUCAAGUACUGUGCAGUAGUUACCAUGCACAGGCCCCAUUGAGGCCUGGCCUUUGAAGUGCCUUGUUCACCAACCUUAAAGGAAGGUCCCAUGUAACACAGUUUGGAUUAGACAUUACAAAUGGCUUCCAGUUGUAUGGAUUGCUUUCCAGACUUUGUUGUGGGAGCCACCUGAUGAGGAGGGCCGAGUGCAAGUGCAUAAGCAGCUUCCGAUCAGAACUUCUGCAUGGGCUUGGCCCAGCAGAAACUCCGGAAAGUCCUAAAUAUAAACAAUCAGCAGUGGGAGUGAAGAGGCCAGUGUGAUGCUGUGAGGAUGACCCUCCGCAUGGGAAAGGAACUCGGCAACAAGCAGAACAGGUGCCUCAUCAUCGUCCCAUCACUGGGAUCGCUUCAGGAGCAUGGAGUUGGUGAAGGGAGCCACUGCCUCCAGAAGAAAAUGUGUCACUCCAAAGAAAGAUUAGAGAAGGGGAAAGUGACCCCUGAAUAAGAAGAGUCUAUUCAUCUAAAGACCCUCUCCCAGGAACUCUUGGCAGGGAGAGAGUUGGCUUUCCUGCUGCGCCAGUGAUUGAGCUACAAGCAAGAAUGGAAAUUUCCAAUUGCAGCAUCAAGGGCUGCUGUUCUGCUGACUGUCUUGCUCAGCCGGGGUCAUCUGCUUCUCUAAGACAUCAAGGAAUGCCAAGGUCGUAUCUUCGUACCUCACUUCCUGACACAAACAAGUUUUUACUGUUGUCAGCAACAAAGCCCUAAUAUAGCUGUGGAAGAGAAGAACUGCAUUGCAUUUGCCUCCUGCAAGCAUCAUCAACACGGUUACCAGAGGAAUUUAAUUCCAGAAAAGCUUUAAAGCUGGUGUGAUGGUAAUUACGUAUCAAAUGCCUGAUUCUAUUUUUGUUAUUAUUGUUUUGUCAUUUCUGAUCUACCCAAGAACUGGCUGAACUCUCAGAGAGAAAAUCCAGUUUUUCUUUUUGUCUUGGUAAAAUUUAAUAGAAAAACUGAUAGAAAAACUCAUUGCUCUUGGGGAAAAUAAAGUAAGAGCCACGAAAUGUCAUUUUAACAGAGCGUGGGUUUUGUGAGUGUAGGAAAGGAUUUAAGGACGCUCCUUCUGUUCGGUUUCCUAUGUAAUGAGCAAAGGCUACACGCACGCACAGACGCCACAGCUCCCGGAUGCUAUGGCUCCCUUAUCUGGGCUUCUGCAGCGCCAGAAGCCUCUCCGGGAUGCUUCGAGGGGCUCUUGGUGGGUGGUGGUACGAACGCUGCGGCCGCCGACACCGCCAGUCCUGCCGCUGCUGUUGUUGCUGCUGCAGUCACGUGGGAGGCCCUUUAAGUUUCCAUAGAGAGGCCUCUCUGGUGUCACAUGAUGGACAUGAUAUAAUGAAACAACAUUGUGGAGAGGAAAGCAUUAGGGGAGCCCACGGCUACAAAAACAAGUGAGUGAGAAGAGGUGGGAGGAAGAGAAACUACGCCACCUCUCCUGCAGCUGAGCCGCGCGCAGCAGCAGCCCGGGGGAAGUGGGCGACGCCGGGGGGAAGGGAGACCGGGUCCCCAGCCCCAGCCGGGGGACCCCGCCGCCCACUGCCGAGAGAACAACUUUUAGCCGGCAGCCUCAGCCAGCACUGCACCUGUCUCCGAAGCCUCCAUCGUUUCUCGUGAUGGUCAAGGGGAAAUUCUAGAAGAAUAUGCUCUACAAAAUAUACAUGCGCAUCAUUUUCCCCCUUGCGUCUCACGCUGGAGGAAGGAAAGAGAAAGGGAUUUAAGCAGCAGCGUGUCUUCAGCCCCAAGCACCACCAAGCUGCCCUGGAAUGGAACUUCUGCUCAGUUCUUGGAUUGAGGGAUGGAGGAGGAGUUUACUUCAUUCAUUCUCAGGGACUCUUAACUGGUUACUUUUCCUUUAAGAAUAAACUUUGGGUCUUCUAAAGACUUAAAGAAACUAAAUCACUUCCUUCGCUUCUGAAAACCCUUAAGGAAACACAUUUCAGGCCAAAAGAUAAAGUAACUUCGUAACGAAAAAUAAAACCAACUUUGCCUAAAAGUUGAAGGAUUAAAUAUUCCCAUCUGUCAUUUUUGAGAGAUUUGGGCAAUGUAUUUGAUCUCACGUUUUCUAGUUGCUUAAGUGAGAAAAAGAAACACAGAAUUACAUAGUUUCAUGCACUGACAACCGGAAGUAUAUAAACAUCUGCAGAAACCAAACAUUUCCUGGAACUAAACUCAAGCAGAAAUGUAUCACGUGAAUCUUUGUUUAAAGAACCUUGUGAAAAAUAUCUUCAACCACAGUUAUGUAAAAGACCCAGGAGUGCAGCUCGGAGGACUGAGGAGAUUAAAGUGAAGCUUUGAAGCUUUGAAGGAUGCAAACAACAUUUUUCGUGGAAUUCCAAGGGUGAGAAGAAUUUAGGAUAUUUUACCAUCUGGAGUUUCUCUGCCUCACUGGUGAUUUAAACUCAAACCUGCCAGUUUAUGCAAGAUGAUAGAAAGUACCCUGUAACAUCUGAGUUGCAAAAAUAUCUGCCUCUGAGAGCUCAGGAGGAUCUGCUUUGUGGGAGCAAAGGUAGUGAGUCAUACCUGGAAGCUUGCGCCUCUUCAUCCAGUCAGGUCUCCUAGGCAACAGUUUAUGCAGCACUUAAAAGAUGAGGAGUUAAGAGGAGAAAAUGGAAAAAAAAAACAACAGAAGUACUUUUAAUGGAACAGAAUAAACCACUGAACAGGUACCAGAAAUUAUUAGGAGUUGGGUACAACAUAAUUAAACGAGUUAAUAUUUGUGAAGUCCUUAGAAGGUUACCUGGCAUGUUUAAAUAACUGCAUACGUGUUUGCUAUUAUUAAGUUCCUUUAAAUGUACCUUAGCCCAGAACAAAUCAGUAGUACAGCCAAGAACUACCCAACAACAACAACAAAAAACCCUUUUCCCCUAAAGCAAGUGUGAACAUCAUUGGUAAAUGCUGUCAUGGUCUCUGUAUGACUUGUUAUAGUGGUCUGAGAAACUUAAUUUCUUAAUCUCUGAGCCCUCUGAGUGUUUGAAUACCCAUUCAUUUUUGGUUUUGAGCACUCAUUCAUGAUGACUUUUAAGUGUCAGAUCAGUUUCAAUUUUUUGGAAUAAAGCAAGCUUCCUUAAAA
Molecule: non-coding RNA, 3423 nt
Organism: Sus scrofa (pig)
Lineage: Eukaryota; Metazoa; Chordata; Mammalia; Artiodactyla; Suidae
Source: RefSeq, a predicted model, not a curated record